This 36593-nucleotide long non-coding RNA is filed under the name Lactuca sativa (garden lettuce). RNAcentral describes it as "long non-coding RNA (LSAT_LNC008255)". The record is from RNAcentral. Lineage: Eukaryota; Viridiplantae; Streptophyta; Magnoliopsida; Asterales; Asteraceae.
GUCCAGCUGAUUUCUGAGUACAUGUCAAAGCUAGUGGGAGCAUAAGUGUUAUGCUAAUAAUCAUCAUGUUAGUGGGAGCAUGAUAAUUAUGAUAAGUAUUGCAAGUUAGCAAUGUUAAUUAUAGAAAACAAAAGUUUCAAUUGGGAAAAAGUUGUUUUGCUAUAAUUAAGGGAGAGGAAAUUAUGCUUCAUCUCAAAUCUAUAAGCUUAGAUCGUGAGGUUUUAAUCAUUUAGUCAAGGAUAUAUAUGAAUUUCAUGUUGGAAUGGCUCAACAUAAGGAAAUUCUAUAUAUGGGUCCAUUAUUUGCGUUCUAAAAUUCGAUUAUGAUUACGGCAUCCCUUUUCAUAAUCUGAAUUAUGAGAACUUGGCAAAUUGAAAUGGAAAUAUUAUAGCAAAAGACUGGUUUAGUCUUUAUGUGAGACAUCAUGAAUCAUGUCCCAUAUGCUUCGGAUAUAGGGUCGAUUACAUGUGCUAUAAUAUUCAUCCUUUCUAAAAUUUUCCAAAUGCCUGGGGCAUUAAGAAAUGAAAAGGUUUAGAAUUGAAUAUGACUAAAGUGAUUAAGCAAUUGUCGAGGACAAUCUAAGGUUUUACCAAGGAUUGGUUGCUCAGGGUUAGUUGGAAGUAUGGUGUUAAUUUUGGAAGGACCAUAUUGACAUAUUCUGAAAAGAUGCAACUCUUGUUCAUAAGUGAUAGUCUAAAUGGGAAUAUGGGUGGAAGUUAUAUUUAUAAGAUUAGGAAACUUAAUGCAAGAAGAAUGUUCAAAGGCAAUGAACUUUGAAUAUGAUACUUCGGUUCCAUGGAGUUGAUCUCCUUUGGAAUGCUCUAUAAUGUUUGUUGUCAAGUCUUUGUGACUUUGUGCAUAAUCAUUACAAGAGGAUCAAUGCAUAUAAGUUUAGAAUCUAACAGAUUUCAGUAAAUGGCAUGAGUUUGGAAUUCUUGCAUUUGCAGCAAGGAAUUGGGAAUGUCAAAUUAGAAUCAUUGGAAUUAUGUUCAAUUGGUUUAUUUCACAAAGUAAGGAUCAUAGACAAACAGAGAGUGCAUAUUUAGUGUAUGGCAAAGCUAUUGUUUAGAAAAACAUAGUGUACAUGCUUGGAGCAUGGGACAACUAGUGUUUUUAAUUCAAGUACAAAGUUGAUAAAACCGAAAGAAUGAAUAAUGAGUAAUCAGUAUGGUGAUAAAUAAAAAGUGUUUUAUUUAUAUUCAUAGGUUUUGAUACCAUACUAGAUUCAAUUAUUCUUGUGUUUCAUUUUGCAUGUUUUGACUUCCAGAAUAAACUAGGUUAUUCUUCCUGAAUGACUAAGUUAUUCAAACCAUCCAUAGUCGGUCAUAUGUUGGAAGUAGAUAUGAAUCAAGACUGUCAUGGGUUGGGCUUGUAGAGGUCUAAGAUGUUGGACAAGGUGAUGCUACAACACUCAUGAGUGCUCAUAAGUUCUGAGUAUUGGAUUCAACCCGCGCUCAUUGGAAUCACUUCAUGGAUUUUAUCACGAGUGAUCAUGAGACAAAAAUAUCUUAUAUUCUUCAAACCUAGAGAUAUGAGCUAUUAAAAUGAGUUGGUUGUACAUUGAUUGCACGAAACCGCAUUGGUAACUCGAUGUUAUAAAACGUGCUUUUGUGUAUGAUUCAACAAGUAGUAGAACAAGCCAUAUGAGUCGAAGUUUAUCCAUUCCUUUUACCUUCGGGAUAAAAGCGAUAUCUGUGGGCCCCUCGAUGAUUUGAUGAUGACAAAUGGAAGUGCUCGGCCGGGCCAGGACUGAUUUGAUUUGUUCAAUUAGUCAGUCGUCAUAAAUCGGAAAUCGGGAAACAACAAAUGGACAGAGAGAAUGAUUAUAAUCCAUGUCUCAGUCCAUAUGAUAUCUAGAAUGGAGGAAUAUAUGAUCCCUUAUCUAAUGGACAAGUCAUUGACAAAGGUCAGAGUUCAUCUACAAGGUCAGAGUUCGACAGAAGCUUUUGAGAGCUACGAUUGCCAGUUGGUUCCUGAAGUCAUACGCAAUAAUAGUUUUAGACUUAUCCAAGUGGGAGACUGUUGGAUUAAUGUCUAAGUCCAUAACUAUAAUUGGUAAGACUUGACCCGACCCGGCAUGGUCCAUUUGGGUUGCAUGGCAUCGGGACAAUUGGAUAGACAAGAUGAGGAAAAAGGAUACUAGUGAUUUUUAUUAAUAUAUUAUAAGUUCUAAUAUAUUAAUAUAUAAUCAUAUUAUUUAAUUAGUAUUGAUCAUGAAUUAAUUUAUAAUUAAUUAAGUGAUAAAAAAGGAACUAAUUAAAUAUGGACUCUUAGAUAUAUAUAUGUGUGAUGGGCCAAGCUCAUUUAUGUUGGACUAAGCUCUCAUGGAUAGUCCAUGGAGUGUUUAACCCAUGGAUCAUAUGAAAUGAAAGGUCAUGAGUAUUAGGGUUUAACCAUAAUCUCCACACUAUAUAAAGAAGUCCUUAGUUGGUGGAAUUUGGACUAGUAUGUGUACAAAAAACGGGAAAGGCCGAUUUCACUAGAGAGAACCAAAGUAUCCUUAUUCUCAAGGUUAUUCCAAGUGUUCAUGGUGUUGUGUGAACAAUUUGAGGUGUCACACUUGGGGCACUAGGCACUCAAGCUUCAUGAAGACAAGAUUACAACAAAGAGGUAUGUAUUCUAACUUGCUACAUUACUAUGUAUCAAUAUUUUGGUAUGCUAGUUAGGAAAAUACCUUCGAUAUUCAUAUUUUCAUGUGUAAUAGAGAAAACAUAGAUCCAAGGUAUUUAGGGUUGUAUGUGAACCAUAGGAUGUUGUAGUAUACUAAAACCCAACACUUAGAUCCUUAUCCCUAGUCUAGCAUGCAUUUCUCAUAAUCAUAUCAUAUAACAUAAUAUAUCAUGUAUGGGGAUCUUGGGGAAAAACUUACUUGAGCUCGGCCGGUCGCACGCAUCACACAAACCAAGGCUCUGAUACCAACUUUUAACAUCCCAAAAAUCCAGACCAAAAUUUUUUGUUUUAAUGUAUAUUAGUUGUAAAAUUGUUUAAGGAAAAAUAGUACUGAUAUCACAUCAAACCACAAAACAAAAGUUACAUGUCUCAAAAACCAUAAUGUCAAAUAGUAUAAUGUCAGGCUAUCAUCCCAAGGUUCUCAAAUGCGGAAUCAUAUGUGUGCAGUGUGCUGCGACCCUGUCGGCUCCUUCCUCUUAGUUGAAGAGGUACUUGAAACCAAAACUGAAAACCAUAAGCACAAAACUUAGUGAGUUCCCCUAACAUACCACAUACUAUACAAUCAUACAUACUGCUGGGCAAUUAUGGGGUGCCAGACCUACCCAUGUCAAGCCAUUCUGGGGUGAUGACCUACCCAUGUCAUGCCAUUCUGGGGUGCUCACCUACCCGUGUCAGGCCGUUUUGGGGUGACUGCCUACCCCCCGGUCAAUCUCACUCGAUCAUAGGGACUAUUUCACCUUCUACCACUAUCACAUAAUAACAUAUCAUAAUCAUGCUGUCAGACAUAUCUAGGGUGUCCGACCUACCCUUCGCCUAACUACUGAAUCAUGGGACUAUUCCCCUCCUACUACCACUAACACUUAUAGCAUAUCAUACUCGCAUAUAGAACACAUUAGGUAAUAGCAAACUAGACAAUUAUCACAAAGACAAUCAUCUCAACUAUAAACAACUACUAGUGGGUCGUCCUUGGUGCCUUAGACCCAAUUCUACUGGAAGGUAACUGACCUCAAUGUCGUGUAGUGUCUGCACUGUCCUCAGUACGAAAAUCAACUCUUCUCGACUCCUUGAUCCCUACACAACAUCCUUUCUAAGUUACCGUUUCAUACUCAUAACCCCUACCACAGUCAACUCAAGUCCAAGUCAAAGUCAAGGUCAAAACCUUGGUCAAAGUAAAUUUGGUAGAACUUAACAUUUGGUUGACUCGACUCGCCGAGUGUGUCCACCAACUCGUCGAGUCCCCACUUCCAUGAAAUGCUACAACCUCGUCCCUACUCGUCGAGUCUAGCACGAGCUCGACGAGUUCUCCUUCAACAAAAGAUCGGGACCUUCUUCAACUGACUCACCGAGUUCUUCCGUGAACUCGUCGAGUCUAUCUGCAUCCGUAUGAAGGUGUUCGGUCUAUGACUCGCCGAGUUCAUCCUUGAACUCGUCGAGUCCGUCUUCAUGUGGUUGCGACAUUGCUUUGAACUCGCGGAGUUCCUCCUUGAACUUGUCGACUCCUUCAAUCUUCAAGUCCAUAACAAACCUCUAACAGGCUGAGUGUUCCUUCCACUCAACCAAAGACCGUUACCAGAAGACAUUCGGGGGAAAAUGCGACCCGACUCACUUAGUCACCUAAGCGACUCGUCGAGUCCCUCUUUUUCCAAAACUAUUUAGUCGAUUAUAAUGGGUCUUAAUGCAUCAAAACCAUAGAUCUGACCUCCUAAGUUCCACUUUAUAUGUAAAGUUCCAAUCUUGAUGUCCAUGCAUGGGAUUUUUGGCUCAGAAAGCCAUAAAAAGAGGUAUAUAAGAAGCAUGGGUCUCCCAUGGCCAUAAAGUUGGCACCUUUAUGCCAUGGGAACCCUCAAUCAUUCCAGAUCUUAAGUAUAACUCUAAGCACACUCACAAAAUAUGAUUACAACUUCAUAAAGUCAUAAAAAGGGUAGAAAAUAGCCCCAAAACAAGAUCUAAGAGAUAGAUGGUCAAGGUUCUAGCUUUUUACCUUAAAUGAACUGAGAAUGAAGCAAAACCUCUGGAUAUACUAGCUUCCAAUUGAACUCCCGAACUUCCUUCUUCUCUUCCAACUUCAAAUGCACACAAAAGUCACCAAAAAGCUCAAGAACACUCAAAACAGGCUUAGGGUUCAAGUUAGGGAUUUCUCUGGGUUGGGAGGAACAAUGGAGGCUGGGUUGGGGCGUUAUAAAUUUUUUAAAUAUGGUGCAAACCCUAAAUAUUAGGGUUUCAUCCAGAUAACUUAAAAUCAUUGAGUCAGUCUCCCGACUCGUCUAGUAGAUCAUUAAACUUCCCGGUCAACAAUCGAGUCUACUCGACGAGUUGGGGCUCCAACUCGCCGAGUCCUAGAGGAAAACAUGAACUUACUUGAAUUAAAAUAUAUACUAGGCACCGGGUAUUACUACAAAGCUUUCCAUCUGAAAAAUAUACUUACAAACUCACCAACUUAAAUAUUGAUACAAUUUCAAAACCACUUGUAUUCUUAGGGAACCGGUAGACAGGUACACCCAUGAGUUGGGCCUCCAACUCGCCGAGUCCCAGAGGAAAACAUGAACUUACUUGAAUUAAAAUAUAUACUAGGCACCGGGUAUUACAACAAAGCUUUCCAUCUAAAAAACAUACUUAUGAACUCACCAACUUAAAUAUUGAUACAAUUUCAAAACCACUUGUAUUCUUAGGGAACCGGUAGAUAGGUACACCCAUAGGUUUUGAGAAGGCGGAGAUCAUAGAGUCGCGUCUUUUAUACUUUUGCUAUACAUUUUUGAUGUCAUACAAUCUAUGUAUUGAACAGAUGUAAGCACUAUAUUUUUUCAAUGUAAUGGUUGUGUUUGAUUUGAUUACUAUUAUGCAAUUGUUGUGAUACUGUACAUGAUGUCAUCCGCCCUGAACGUUUCCACUGUUCCGGUUUGGGGUGUGACAAAUUUUGACUCUAUUUUUAAAGUUAUAUUUUAACAGGUCGUGACAGGAAAGGUCCGUUAAAAAAUCAUAACUUCUUCAUUCAACGUCUGUUUUCGUCUGUCUUUUUACCGUUGAGCUACUAUUAACGAGACCUUCGAUUCUCGCUUAGGUUGUGUCGGCCAAAAACCGUUCAAUCCACUAUUCGAUCUCCAGGUUGUGUACUGUUAAUCUGAAACUUGGAAAAACCAUAAUUUCCUCAUACGAAGUCAGAUUUGGGCGUUCUUUUUAUGCACGCUCUCGGUAUAGCAUACAUUAAGGGGGUGUUUGGCUUAGCUUUUAUGGGGCAAAAGUCCUUUUUAUAAAAGGACUUUUUGUAAAAGAACUUUUUACAAAAGUUAUUUUUUUAAAUGUGUUUGGAUUAACUUUUGAAGGGAAAAAGUCAAAAAUUAAAGUGUUUGGUUUAAUUUUUACAUGUAAAAUGACAAAAAAGAACAUGUUUAGGGUAGAUGAGGGGUAUAUUGGUAAUUUAAUAUUUUUAGUUGGUGAAAAGUUAGGAAAAGUCAAGUAAUCGUGACUUUUCAAAAAGACUCAAAUUACUCUAUGGCAAAAGUCAUUUACAAAAGUCCUUUUCCCUUUGCUAAACAUCUUUUGGGACUUUUUCUAAAAGAUAAAGUCAAAAGUCAUUUAAAAAGCUAACCCAAACACCCUCUAAGACUUUCGUUUAGAUCGCUAAGGCUAAAAAGCACUUUUUCAUAACUACUUCGGUAUAACUCGGAUUUCGGCAUUCUUUAUGUCUCCAGAAUCCUUGUCACGACCACUACAACUUUCUUCAUGGGUAUCAGGUUUAUCUAACAUUUUAUUUUUGACGCUUAUUGUUAUUUUAUCUUUACAAACAAGUAUAUAAUCACAUAAUUCACAUAGUAUUCAAUUAAUUCAUCUUUAUUACUUUAAAAUAGGUUACAAUGGUUGACCUUGACUAUUACAUCAUCGAAUUAAUGCUUAGCCUCGAAACACGGGCGUUACACAUCCUCAACACACGAUUUUAGCCACAUAAUGAUAUAUAACGUCUAGAUCUAUAAUAAAAAAUCAAUAGAUUUUGGUAAGCAAGAUUCCAAUACAAGGACAUAAAAUGUGUCAUUUAGUUAAAACACAGUAAUAAUAAACAUUUUGCAUUUAAGGGGCGAGGGAGAAUUUUCUUCGAGUGCUUGGUGCAAAUGAAACACCUCUUAUUAGAGUAAUUAAAAAUUAACCUUUUCAAAUCAUUUGAUUUAAAACUGAAAAUUUUAAAGUUCAAGUAUGUGGAAUCAAUGCUCCCAAGUUUGAAAACAAGUUCAAAAGUUCAAUUUAGCGAAGAUCUAAUAAUACAAUGUCAUAACAAAGUUUUAAGUAACCACAUAUGUCAUGGCCUACUCAAAGUAUUUGCUACCAUAAGCUAAUGACUAAAGUCUUCAAUACGAACACACAUCAAUAUAAUUUUCUAGUGUGUAACACCUUGAUUUCUAGGUAUUUACAUUUUCAAUCCUUAUGAAGUAAUUAGUUUGCAAGUUGGUCCUAAGGAGCCUUAAAUGAGAAAAACGUCUUGCCUAGUAUGUUAGGCGUACGCCUUGUAUACUAGACAUACAUGGCCAAAGGCUAUACCCUAAUUUUUAGGGUUUGGACCCUAUUUAAACAUCCUUAACUACUAAAAUCCCCUUCAUUGAUCAGCCUCCAUCCCCAUCUUCGACCCAAGCUAACCCUAAUCUCUUGUGUGAGCAUUUUUGACCUUGAGUGUCUAUUUUGGUGAUCUUGAAGGAGGAAGAAGGAAGUGGAAUCAUCUUGGGAUCUCAAAGACAACCUAGAUCCAAAAGCACAUCAUCAUUUUGCACCACUUGGAGGUAAAAAGCUCUAAUCUUGAUUUAGUUUUGCUUAGAUCUUAUUAGCCAUGGAUUUGUGUUCAUUUUGGUCCUAUAAUCUUGGUGUUUAUGAGUAUGGUUUACUCUAAAUCAUCUGAUCUGUUCUUUCAGACAUUUUGGAGUGUUUAGAGUCAUAAAAUGUAAUCUUGCUACUUAGUUUCCUUCCAUGCAUGAACUAUAAGGUCUUAAUGAGUUAAGAAGUUAGGGUUUUUGAUAUUGGGCACUUUCUAGCCAUGCAAAGUCAUAAAGUUGGAAACUUUAUGACUUAGAAUGCUAUUUUGGGACUAGAUCUGGGUUUUUGACAAAGUAACUAAAUGGAUUAAGAACUUCUUAGAAAGGGAAGUAGGCAAAGGUGCAUGAUGGUCAUACUUGAUGGUACGAUGCGCGUAUGUGGUCAACUCCUUGUAAUCUAGUCAAAGUGUAUUAUGUCGCGCAUACAAACUAAGUACGUUGGGCAUACUCGGUUGAGUUGACUCGAUUGACACCUUUAAAAUUUGACUUUGACCAGGAUUUUGACUAAGUUUAACCUAGGGGUAUUUUAGGUAUUUUGAGUUAUAGAAUGAGAUUUGGUCACUGUUUAUUAUGAAGGUGAUCAAUAGAGUUCGUAUUCAGAGGAACGUGUUGUUCAGCUACGUCUCCAGUCUAUGAGGUGAGUUUUUCCCUCACUGGACUUGUGGGUCGAAGGCACUAAUUUCGGCCCACUGGAUCAUGGAUCCUGGUAUAUUAGUUUGAUGUUAUGCUGAGUAUGUACCAGAUUGGGAGAUCUGUAUGAUUAUCUGUGUUCACUGAGAAUGCUUUAGACUGGUAGAUCUGUAUGAUUAUAUGUGUUGCUAGUUAUUGAUUGUUAUUAUAUAUGUCAACUUGUUAUGGUUUGUUGGGUUGAGAUGGUCUAGCUUGGUGUUGAAGGCCAAGACACCCAGGGUGGUCCGUAUAGACUGAAGACCAACAAGGUGGUCCAGUCAAGCCAAAGGCCCGGAGAGUGGUCCAGACACACUGUAGACCUAGUGAGGCGGUCUAGUCAUGAUGAAGGAUCUAAGAGCGGUCCAAAUACGUUGCAGGCCCUAAGAGGCAGUCAAUUCAGGAUGAAGGCUCAUAUAUGUAUGCUAUUAUCUGUUUGGUUGUGUGUGUGGUACUUGGGGGAACUCAGGCUUACAGUUUCAGUUUAUUGUUUUAGGUACUUUAGAUGACCAGGGGAAAACAAAGGCGUUAUUGUGCACAUCCUUCUCAUUUUUUGAUAUUGGAAUUUGAGAUACUCUAAUUAUGAUUAUUACUUUUGUAAAAAUGUUUUGUAAACAAUUAUGGUCUUUGUAUUGGUUUUGGAAAAAUGAAAAUUUUACUCUAAUGUUUGGGAUGUUACAAGUUGGUAUUAGAGUCAUGGCUUGUGAGAUUGGAUAAAUAUUCAUGUGAAACCAGAUUCAAACUAAUCAUUUGUAAAAGUUUUCAAAAUGGUUUUUAAAAGUAACAAAGGAAGGAUGAGAUAUGUACAAUCAAACAGAGCAAGCAAGGUUACCCCAAGUUACCUAUACUAUUAUUUGUUAUUGAUGAUUAUGAUAGAACUGCAUGCUAGUGGUAGGCUAGGGAUCUUCAGGAAUUGCAUGAUAGAAUUGUCUGAUGUAUGAUGUCUGAUAACCUAUGUGGACUUCUUGUAUGUUAGAUGAAAUUGACAUCAUUACUGUAGUUUCUUAGUGAGUGAAUCAUUAUAAAUAACUAAUAUUCUAUAGCCUGAGAAUGUUUGAUUUAGCCUUAUUUCCUGUUCCUUGUUUAGUGUUGAUGCAUAAAAAGUGAACCUCUAGGAAUUCGAGCCAAACAAGAUCCGAAGUCAAACUCAAUCGAAGAUGUGAAGAGUUCAGAAGUUUGUCUUCUUCCGAGAUAUAGACAUUUCCGAAGUUAAUCUUUUGAUGUGAUAGAGUCUGUACGAGCAUUAAAUGCUUUUUUUCUUUUUUUCUUAUUGAAAAAUCUUAGGACCAAAUCAAGUGAAUCUUUUAUGUGUUAAAUUUGUCAAAAACUUGGUUUUACCUAGUCCAUAGAAUGUUCUCAGAGUAUACUGUGUCUCUCCUUUACUAUUUAAGGAUAUGAUGCUUCAUGGAUUGUAAGAAAGAAAUAGAAUUAUUCUCUUCACAUCAAUUAAAAAUUCUCUUUCAAGUCAAAUCUCUUUCACUGUCAUUCUACUUCUUCUUAAAUUGUCUUUACUAUUGCUCAUACUCAUUUUACUCCCUUAAAUAUUUUAUUGAAUACUUUGUUGAAUAUCAUCUUCAAGUCUUGACUGGUUUACCAGACUUGACUAGACCAAUAUAUUAGCAGCAAAUAUUGAUCUCAAAAGUUAAUUCAAGGUUUGAGUUUUCAAACCUUGUCCGCGCACUUAAUCUUGUACUCAAAAUUGGUAUCAGAGCUUGAGUGGUUGUCCUUUGAAUCAUUUUUGUGUUCACGAUAAAAGUUAUUCUAUAUACCACUUUUGCACCAAUACUUUAACUUUAAUGAUUGCUCCUAAUCAAACUCAACAAAUGUAUUCGAUGCAAAUAGAAAAAAGCGUGGGUUACCCUUCUCGUAACCCCUUGCUAGUUGUUGAAGAGUAUGAUCACUCGAAAGUUAGGAUGGAAAUAUUUUUACUUGGGAAAGAAAAAGGUGAAGAAAUAUGGAGAUCUGUGAAAGAAGGUCCUCAUGUUCCAGUGAGACAAAUAGAGAGAGAGAGAGAGAGAGGGAGAGACGUUGCUACUCUCAUGGGCCAAGUAGAUUAAUGUCCAACACCUCUUACUACUUCAAAUAUCGAAAAGCUUUAUGCAUAUUAGAUUGCAUUUUCCGAGAUGGUGUUUGGUGUUCCUCUAUCUCUCUUUGAGCACAUUAAGUUGUGUAAAUCUGCAAAAGAGAUUUGGGUCACUCUUUAGGACUUGUUCGUAGGGUCCGACAACAUGAAGGACAAGCAUUUGACUUUGGUUGUCAAUGAUUUUGAUACCUUCACCACUACUCUAGGUGAAUCUAUAGCCUCAUCCUCAACUAGGUACAUAAUGGUUGUCGACAACAUGAUUGCACACGAUAUAGUCAGAACUCCUCUUGAGUACAAUCUGAAGUUUAUCAAUAGCCUUGGAAAAGGUUAGGGGAACGUCAAGUCAUGUCUUUAGAGUAACAAAUAUAUGAAGAAACUGAAGCUUUAUCAACUUUUUGACGAACUACAAAGCCACGAAUGUAACGUUGCUCAAAUGUUUAGAGAACUGUCAGGAGGUCCUCUUGCUUUGGUUAAUUGUGCUAACCCACUAAUUCUGAACCGUGUCAAGUCCUUUCGAAACUAUUCCACCUAUUUCGCCCGUUCAACCAAAAUUUCCUACUCCACUCACUCCACCUGUUCCGAAUUGUUCAUUUGAUGAAUAUCUUGAUCUUGAUCCAGCCAAAUCCGAACUUCGUUUUGAACAAGAAUUCACACUCUUGUCCAUGAAAUACAAACGCACCUGGAAUCUUAUCCAUAAACCUUAUCAAUACUAAUUUCAAGCCCCUCAUCAAAGCAAUCCUCAACCAUUUCUGAAAGCUUCAGAAAACCCACCUGCUUACUGACCCAACAUCCCCUCAUCAAGUCAUUCCUCAAAAUCCCAAGAAAUUCCGAAAUCAGAUAAACCCAAGAUAGUUUGUCACAAAUGUGGUCUUGGUAAACAUUUUUCCAGAGACUAUUUGUCUGAAACCUCUUAGAAGCCGAAGGUAAAAGAUUCUACAUACUAUUCUUGUAGAGCCCAAAAAUUGGCAACACGUGAGAAAGCUUUUGUUACCACUGUGUAAAGAGAUGUUUAAGGGUGUCAGUCUUUUGGAGAUAAGGAUGAAGUGAGAAAUAGAAGGAAUAUGUUUAUUAUGGCAAGACAGUCUAUCAAAUGUGAUGAAGGAUGCUGGUCUUCAUGAAUAGAAGAAGACGAGGAAAAUGUUGAGCCAAACUUUUGCUAUAUGCCAACAAAUGACCCACCAGGUAGAAGGAUCUUCCAACAGCUAAGAUCUAUGAUUACUGAAAAUAAUUUUGAUUUAUCUAUUUGUAAAGCAGAUCUAACCCAGAUCCAAUCAGAUAUGACUAUCAUUCAUAAAGCCUAUGAGUCUGCCAUAAAAGUAAGUAAGAAGCUAGAGAGUGAACUGACUCGCCUUAGAUUACGCUUUGAAGAUAGCAAUGUUAAGAUAGAAUCACUAGAAAGAGAGCUUGUCAUGUCUAAUGAUGAAUGUAUCAUUCUAAAAGACAAAUGUGAAAUCACUUUUUGUGAAAGGAAUAUCUUAGUUUCUGAUAACAAACGUCUUAAUGCCAAAAUUGAUGCUUUGCAUCACUCAAUUGAUAUCCUUGAAGAAAACGAAAGGAUGACACAUAUUUUUCAUCACCUAUUGUACAAACCACCAGGUCUUGGAAGCAAAUUUCGAAAACCUGUUUCUCAUCCCUUGAAGGAGUUGAAAAAUCUAACGUUCAUGGGAGAUGUUCCGAAUCGCAUUCAUUCGGAUACCCCUGUCUCACCAUUGUCACCCCCGAGACAUCAGACCAGUUCCAAUCUCUGAUUCUUGAGUUCCAAAAUCUAACGUUCAUGGGAGAUGUUCUGAACCGCAUUCAUUCGGAUACCCCUGUCUCACCAUUGUCACCCUUUCCUAAGACUUCAGACCAUUUCCAAUCUCUGAUUCUUGAGUUCCAACCUAUCAUUGUCAAAUAUCUUUAUUCCAUGCCUCUUCCGCCUCUGAUACCCCUGGACCUGAAUCAAUCCUUGGAUUCAUUCCUUGACAUUAACUGUACUAAAGUUCAAAUUCCAAACUCCGUUCCACCAAAAAAUUGUGUUGUCGAGGAAAUAAUUCACGAGAAAACUGGACAUGACUCUGACAAAUCCGAAUUCGUGUGGGUGUCAUUUGAUAGUGAUGUAGAUGAAUAAAUUGUAUGUGACAACUCAUCUGACUCAUGUAUAUCUAACUCUGAAGUGAUUUUGAAAACAAGUCUUGUGCUAAUUAAGCCUAAGUUCGACAAUCCAUCAUCUGUAAAAACUUCCAAUUUAUCAUCUGAAUCUCAGAAGAAACCCAUGUUAAAUAGGAAAGAUGUUGUUCAUCCUAAGAUCGAAUUCAAAAAUGCCCUUAAGAAAGAAAUUAGGUCAAGGCAAGAUUCCAGAUUCAUUAAGAAAUCCAAAAAGAAAGUGUCUUGAAUAGAUAGACCAACCAUUAGCAACCAUAAUACCUUUAUGUUUGUUAUGAUUCUUAAGAGGCCAUCCAAUCCUCCUAGUUUGGUUGUUCAAAACAAAUAUGUCAGUCCUAAUCCCGAAAAGGUCACUUUUGAGACUUCUUCGAUGAAAACUGACUCUCCUCGGACAAUUUCCUCUAUGUUUAUUGCUAAAUCUGAUGGCAUGAUUUUCAAACCAAAGCAAUUUCUGAAACCAAAUGUGCGUUCAAAAUCAACAAGCAAAGAACAAGUUAGUAGGAAAACUAUUACAUGUUUAUGGGCUUUAGUUGUCCUUUUGCAUGCUUAUUGGGCCUAGAAAAUACCUUACAUGCUUAGUGGGCCUUAGUGAUCCUUUUACAUGUUUGUUGGGCCUCAUACAUUCACAUACAUACUCGUUUGGCACCUAUCGAGUGUACAACCGUAGCUUGUAGUUAUAACCAGAUUCUCCUGGAGGGAGCGCGGUAGUUUGUGUAUAGAUCUAUACGGGGGUGACACCCCACACCUGAGUUGUUCGCUACAGUCUAUUGUUCACUACAGUUAGACUAGGCCAGUCUAGGGUGACAAACCUUACCUUAAACAAGUCGGCGUCUGAAAAUGUCAUGACAAACGGAUUAGUCAUUAUCAAGUAUAGUUAUAACGACUCACUUAGAUGAAUUAACUCCAUUAUAAAAUUUAUGGAAUACAAUUUCUGUUGAUAACACGGUAACAUACACACAUUGGUACUCAGUCUUAGAGUGUUAAGAUCACAACGUUUUAUAAACAGACAAUAUCAAAUUGUCUAGGAUCAUUCACUUCAUACACUUUCAAAAUUUUACACACAUGCAUUAAUAUAAGAUCGGACACAAACAUUUCAAACCGUUUUUCAGAAAAUAUUGAAUUUUCUGGCAUUUACAAAGUAUUACAAAACAUUUUACUCAAACAUACUUAUGAACUCACCAACUGUGACAUCCCCAAAAUCUCGGCCAGAAAAGACCGAUUUUCAUUUAUGCUUUUAAAUAAUUUCAGAGUAAAUCAUUUUGAUUUGAAAGAGUUGUGGAAUUUGUUCCCAAAACAAAACAUGAUAAAAUAACAUUUAUCAAAGCAUUUCAUCAAGAGAUGCAUUUUCAUUAUAUAAUCAAAACUCGGGAUGUCAUGUUCCGAUACAGACCAUGAAGCAUAAACGAUAAACAUUACAAGUCAUUCAACAAAUAUAUACAUAUACAGACUUGUAAACAAAACAACAAGAUGAUCCAUCCAUCUUACGCCCUUGUGCCACUUCCUGUAAUACAAAUAAAACUGAGUGGGUCAGGCUUGGGAGCCUGGUGAGCAUAUAGGGUUUUCAACCCACAAUAAAUAAGUUAUAUUUAAUUUCACCAACCAAUCACUAUCCCGAUUACCCAUUCCCGUUAUCCUCACUUUACGUCCCUAAAACAACUAUCUCAAGGGACCUAAUCUAGGAUUUUCAUCGGGACGGACAUCACUGCGAAGGGGUUUCCUCAACAAUAGAUAUCCUAAAGGCAACCAUGAGGGGGAUAGAGUACACCGGUGAACACAUCGUUCACAACACCUACAGGUUAUGAACCUGCUAGCGUUCCACUGGACUGUCUAGAAAGAGUCCGUGGUCGUUAUCCAUACUCCGCUGAAUAACUAGAUCAACAACAACAACAACAUCGAGGCCUCUCAUCUGUUUAUUACACACCAACUAUCUACCCAUGUUCUACCCAACAUAUUAGUAGAUAAAAAUAUAUAUUUUCAUACGUAGUUUAAAGAAAACCUGUAUAGCAUGCUUUAAUCAACACAUAUGUCACAUAACAGAUGAGGCACACACACAUAACACAUAUCUCAUAAAGAAAUAAGCAGAUCUAUAAGAUAGAAGAGAGUGAAUACUCAUUCACACAUAACACAACCAAAUAUAUACACAUAGCACGUAUUUUUAUAUAAAAUACUUCGUAUUAUUGUAUUAGAAGAAAUAACUACACACUCACUUGAUCAGAAGACGAUCCGACAGCACUACGGCUUAUAGAAGUAGUAAUCCACAGCAGAUCUGGAAGAUCUCCUCGAAAAUCGAACUUCUCGCGGGCAGAGCUUCGACUCGGGAACCGCGCUUCUCGGGAUCUUCGGGAUCUCGGGACUUGCCUCGGGGCUAGAGUAUGAUACCGGGGCUUCGGGGUAGCUUCGGCACGAAAAACGAUGCAAAAGACUAGAGAGAAGAGAAGAAAAUGAACAAGAAAUGAGGCUGCCUUCGGAUCCUUUAUAUAGAGGCUGGAACCUCGGAGUACGCGGGGCGUACAGGCGUACGCAGCGCGUACGCGUCCGAAAUCGUCAUUGCAUGCGUCAUCCGAAGUGUCGACACUAUCGGAGUUACGCGAUAGCGUAACCUCGUACGCGGGGCGUACUCCGGAUUACACCGGUGACACGGCUUCGGAUAAUGCCUCCGAUUUUGAAUUAAAUAAAAAUAUAAAAUGAUUAAUAAACUUCGGAAAUUCAUAACUUCUUCAUACGAACUCCGUUUUCGACGUUCUUUAUAUCCACGGAAAGGUGAGACCAUGCUCUACGACUUUCGUUUAGACUCCGUCGGCUAAUUUUGACUUUAUUUUUAUUAAUUAUUUUUAAUAGGCCGCGACAGAAACUUUCGUUAUAAAUUCAUAACUUCUUCGUUUGACGUCCGUUCUCGCCUAACUUUUCAUCGCUUCGAUACCAACAAUGAGAUCUUCGAUUCUCAUUUAGAUUGCUUCGGCUAAAAACCGCUCGAUCUCAAAUCGAGUAUUUCAGGCUGCACACUGCUAAGUCGAAACUUCGAUAAAUCAUAACUUCCUCAUACGAAGUCAGAUUUGGGCGUUCUAUAUAUAUUCGGAAACCUCGUUUCAACUACUACAACAUUAACCAAAGAUAUUAAGUUUAUUUUACACUUAAAUUUUGACGCUUAUUUUUAUUCUUAAUUAAUCAAACCACAUAAUUAAGCAAUUAAGCACAAAACACAUAAUACUCAAAUAAUACAUUCUUAUUAUUUCAAAACGGGUUACAAAGGUUAACCUAGACUAUCACAUUGCUAAAAACGGCAAGCCCGAAAACACAGGCGUUACACAGACAUUAUAUGUGUUGACGUUUUCAAAUUAACUUGUAUUCUCAGGAAAUCGUUGAGCAGGUUUGUCAACAAGAAUACCUGGAAUUUUGUUAUCAACAUACUUUGGAUAUUUGGCAUGUAAUUUGAAAUACAAUACUUGAUGUAAACAAUGACAGUUGUAAUAUUGCAUGUCUGAUGAUGAUGAUGUUUUGUUUCAAUUAUAUACACUGUGAUGAUACUACAAGAAUGAAGUCACCCAACCCCCAGAAGUUUCCGCCGUUUCUCCGGUUCGGGGGUGUGACAGAUUGGUAUCAAAGCAUUGUUUAUAGUGUACUGGCAUAUCUAGUCAUACAAGAUAUGAAACUAUAAAAUACAAUGGGACUAAACUAAUCUGAACAAAAUAAUCAAAAUACAUACCUACGUGUGCAUUAAUACACUAACAAUAAAAGUCUCUAGAGGAAAUUGAACAUUGUGGUUAAACCUGGAUAGUUAUGUAGUCGUAUUGGGAAUAAAAGAUCCUGAUCAACUAUAUUUAUUCAAAAUACGACCAACAUGUGUUUGGGAGUGAUCAUAGUGGACAAUGAAUCUAGAAACUUACCAACCUUGUAUCUAAAAUGCUUUAACGAGCUCAAACAUAAACAAUUAAAAUACUAUAGGAGUUUUUUGGAAUGCUAUAUAAAUACACUCUCCUUACACACUUCUCACCCCUCAUGCAGACCCUACGGCCGAAUUCCAUCAUCUAGGAGAUACUAAUAUCCCCAACCAGGGGAAUGGAGGAUGGUUAGAGCCGGAAGCGGAGGAAGAGCCAGAGGAAGAACCAGAAGAAGAACCUGAAGAAGGACUGACAAAACCGGUAGCAGACUCAAAUGAGGAGGAGGCUGAUGGUAGCGAUGCAGAUGACUCGGACGCGGAGUCCGAAGUCAUUAAUCUGACAUUCAUGACCAGCGUGCCCCUGUACAGGAUGGGUCCACGGCCCUAUGCCCCCAUGGUGGACCUGCAGAUCGAGCCCUUCCAGUAAUGGUUAGGAGGACGCGUGACAUCGAUGAGUAGGAACAGGCAACUGCCGGUCAAAUGGUUGCAAUAAGAGCUGCGAUUUAGUGUGCAGAAAGGAUGACUCAUGAGGUGGUCAGGGACUAUCACACGCGACAGGCAGCGUUGGAGGCUCAACUUCGAGCCACCGAGCAUCAUCUGGCCAGACUCCAGGGUGCAUCUACCUCGUCAUUAGCAUCAUCAGACCCUUGUCACCAUGACUAGGAUCAGCUUCAUCCACUACCACUACUGUUAUGAUUUCCUUUAUGUACUACCGUCUUCAUGAUUAAUUGAUUACACUACUCAUGGAGUCGUUAUGCUGUCGUAUUUUAUUUGCUUCAUGUAAUUGUAUGCCUUAUAAAGGCAAAGUUUCAUGUAUUAAAAGGUUUAUUACUAGUGAAAGCAGUUGAAUAUUUUAUCGUGAUGUUGUUAUCUGCUAUGUGUUCUAUUAUUUUUAUUUCAUGUUGAUUUUAUGCAUUCAUUUACACGCACAACCGAAUCACUGAAACUGCUCUAUAUACAAAGAAUCUUGAAACCUGAAUGCAUUGAAUACUUACCAUCUUUCUGUGCCAUGAAAAAAGAUGCCUCAAAGAACGAUAUGCAGGAACCACAACGCAACACCACCACCACCGCCUCCACCAGAAGUGAUCUUGGCUGCAUUCCAAGCAGCAGUUUCAGCUGCCGUUACAGCAGCACUGGCACACAUUCACUAUGGGAACAACGGUGGAGGUAACGAGCAAGAAGCUGGAAACUCGAACCAGGGGAUGAACCAAGGACCUACAAAGGUUUGUACCUAAAAAGAUUUAACAAAUGCCAAGCCUCGAACCUUCAAUGGAACGGGAGGCGUGAUAACUCUAAAGCGGUGGAUAGAAAAAGUUGAAUUGGUUUUCGAAAUAUACGGAUGUCCUGACGAAUGCAAAGUGAAAUUUGCAGCUUGCACAUUUGUCGAUCAAGCGCUUUCCUGGUGGAAUGGUCAUGUGGAGGCCAUGACACUCCCAGUGGCGAAUGAUAUGCCAUGGGAGGAGCUUAAGGAAAUGUUAAUGGAAGAGUACUGUCCAAGAGGGGAGUUCCAGAAAAUGGAGCAGAAACUCUGGAAUCUCACAGUACAGAACUUAGACAUCUAUGCUUACAUCUCGAGGUUUAGUGAAUUGUCACUCCUAUGUCCAGGCAUGAUCACUUCUGAAGGAAAGAAGAUUGAAAGAUUCAUUUGGAGAUUAACCUCUCCAAUCCAAGGAAACGUAAUAGCAACAAACCCUGAGACGUAUGACAGUGCUAAAAGACUAGCCAAGAAGCUCUAUGACCUUGGCAACAAGAAAGGAGCCAAAACCGCUGAGAUCGAGACCAAAAAGGAAGGAGAUAACAUGAAAAAUAAGGACAGAAAAUAAAAAGGACGACAAAACCAAGGGUCAUCAAAAAAGAAACAAACUGUAGCAGUCCACACUGUCACUGCUUAGAUUGCCCCAACACCACAUGCUCCAGCCUCAACUACGCAAACCACUACCAGACAAUACUCGGGAACCUUACCCAAGUGUAACAAAUGCAACUUUCACCACCAUGGAGAGUGUAGAGAAGUCCAGUGUACUAACUGCAACCGUAAGGUCCAUACCACUCGAUACUGCAGAUCUCAACCCUAACAGAACCAACAGCCAAACAAAAAAAAACAACAACAACAACUGCAACAACAAUAACAACGACAAUAACGCUGGGGCUAGUCACACUUGUCAUGGAUGUGGCGGAACUGGCCAUUUCAGACGCCAUUGCCCCAAAGCCAAUAACCAAGGAGCAGGAGGAUCAGGGAGGGUCCUUACUUUGGGUCUAGUUGAGGCAGUUCAAGACUUGACGGUUGUUACUGGUACGCUCCCACUUAACAACACUUACGCAUGCGUUUUAUUCGAUGGUGGAGCUGAGUGGAGCUUCAUUAGUAAUAAAUUCAAACACUUACUAAACCAACAACCCUAGAAGCUAAGCAAAGCCUUCACGGUGGCGAUGGCUAAUGGGAAAACCGAAACAACCAAAGAUGUUUAUGUAGGGUGCACAUUAAUACUAAACAACCAUUCAUUUUAAAUAGAUUUGAUGCCAGCAAAUAUUAGGAGUUUUGAUGUGAAUAUCGUCAUGGAUUGGUUAAGCCCCCACCGUGUUGAUAUUAUGUUCCACAAGAAGGCCAUCCGCCUUCACCUCUAAAACCCUAAUAAUCUAUGGUGAUAAACCUGACGUCAAUCUUCGUCUUAUCUCAUGCAUCAAGGCACAGAAGUGCCUGCACAAGUAAAAGUAUUCCUUCCUCGCUCAUGUUGUGGAUAAAGCCAAAGAGGAAGUAAACAUUAAAGACAUCCCAGUGACAUGCGACUUCCCAGAUGUAUUUCCUGAAGAUCUUCAAGGAAUACCCCCAGAAAGACAGGUUGAAUUUCGAAUCGACCUAAUACUAGGAGAUACAUCAAUUACCAAAUCACCCUACAGGUUAGCUCCCGCUGAAAUGCAGGAGUUAUCCAGUCAAUUAAAAGAACUUCUGAACAAAGGAUUCAUCAGGUCAAUCUUCACGUCGUGGGGAGCUCCGGUCUUGUUUGUCAAGAAGAAAGACGGAUCCUUCAAAAUGUGCAUCGACUAUCGGGAGUUGAACAAACUCACUGUCAAACCGCUCCCUCGAAUUGAUGAUCUAUUUGACCAGCCUCAAGGAGCUAGUUAUUUCUCCAAAAUAGAUCUAAGAUCUAGUUAUCAUCAGCUUCGAGUCCGAGAAGAGGACAUUCCAAAAACUGCUUUCCGAACUCGAUACGGCCAUUACAAAUUCGUUGCAAUGCCCUUCGGUCUAACAAAUUCCCCCGUAGCAUUUAUGGACAUCAUGAAUCGAGUUUGCCGUCCAUUCCUCGAUAAUUUCUUAAUCGUCUUCAUCGAUGAUAUUUUCAUAUACUCCUGAAGUAAGGAGGAGCACGAUCAAUAUCUCCAUCAAAUCCUGGAAACUCUAAGAGCUGAAAGGCUAUAUGCGAAACUCUCCAGAUGCGAGUUCUGGAUUUGUAGUGUAAACUUAUUGGGUCAUGUAGUCAGUAAGGAGGGAAUUCAUGUGGAUCCUUCCAAGAUCAAGGCCAUUGAAGGCUGGGCGAUUCCGUAAACACCAACAGAAAUUCGAUAAUUCUUGGGUCUUGCAGGCUACCGGUUUAUUCAGAACUUCUCCAAGAUAGGCAAUCCCCUCACCACUGUAACACAAAAAGGUGUACCUUUCAACUGGACGGACAAGCCAGAAGAUGCAUUCCAAACUUUGAAGCGAGCCUUUGUAGUGCUACAGUGCUAUCCUUACCAGAGGGAACCGAAGAAUUCGUAGUAUAUUGCGAUGCUUCGAACCAAGGGUUAGGCUAUGUCCUCAUCCAGCGUGGAAAGGUGAUAGCUUACGCGUCUAGGAAAAUGAAGACACAUGAAGUGAAUUACACCACCCAUGAUCUCGAACUGGGAUCCGUGGUCUUCGCCCUAAAUAUUUGGAGGCACUACCUCUACGGUACAAAGUGCACCAUCUUCAUGGAUCACAAAAGCCUUCGGCACAUUCUAAAUCAAAAGGAGUUGAACAGGAGGCAGCGAAAGUGGGUUCAGCUGCUAAAUGAUUAUGAAUGCAAGAUCAAGUAACACCCAGGCAAGGAUAGCAUGGUAGCCGAUGCGCUGAGCAGGAAAUAAUACUCAGGUUGCCGGGUGAAAGCAUUAUCGAUAACUAUCCACUCCCACCUAACCUCACAAAUCAACGGAGCUCAGUCAGAGGCAUUGAAGUCGUAGAAUGCCGAAAAUGAAACACUGUGUGGGAUGGAUAAAAACCUUGAUGCUAAAGAUGAUAGAGCAUACUACUUCAUGAAUAGAAGUUGGGUCCCAAAAUUCGGGGGAUUCAGAGACAUAGUCAUGAACGAAGCUCAUAAGACGCGAUAUUCCAUCCAACCAGGUUCUGAUAAAAUGUACCUGGACAUCAAACAACAUUAUUGGUGGCCAAAUAUGAAGGCAGAGAUCGCCACUUAUGUGGGUAAGUGUCUCACUUGUGCCAAAGUUAAAGUGAAAAACCAAAAGCCCUCGGGAUUGCUGCAACAACCUGAAAUUCCCGAGUGGAAUUGGGAAAGGAUUGCAAUGGAUUUCGUAACUAAAAAACUUAAGACAGCGGAUGGAUUGGACGCUAUCUGUGUGAUUGUCGAUAGGUUAACCAAAUGUGCCCAUUUCAUGCCAAUAAAGGAAUCAUACAAGAUGGAAAGAUUAACACGAAUCUAUAUAAAGGAAACUAUGAAACUCCAUGGAGUGCCAAUAUCUAUUAUCUCGGAUCAGGAUAGUAGAUUUACUUCAAGAUUUUGGUAGUCGCUCCAGAAAGCUAUGAGAACACAAUUAGACAUGAGCACUGCUUACCACCCUCAAACCAACGGCCAAAGUGAGCGAACCAUUCAAACACUUGAAGAUAUGCUCCGAGCUUGUGUGAUCGAUUUUGGAAAAUCAUGUGAUACCCACUUACCCUUAAUUGAGUUAUCGUACAACAACAACUAUCACAUGAGCAUAAUGUUUGAUCCUUUUGAGGCUUUGUAUGGUCACAAAUGAAGAUCGCCUCUCUGCUGGGCUGAGGUGGGUGACACCCAGCUGGCAAAAGGGCAAACACCAAAUAACACUCUUACAGGACCCGAGAUUAUUUGGGAAACGACAGAGAAGAUAAUCCAAAUCAAGGCACGACUCCAAGCAUCGCGAUAUCGACAAAAGAGUUAUGCUGAUAAACGACGAAAGCCUCUGGAAUUUCAAGUCGGAGAUCGGGUGCUAUCGAAGGUCUCUCCCUGGAAAGGGAUAAUCCGUUUUGCGAAGCGGGGAAAACUAAAUCCACGAUACAUCGGGCCAUUCGAAAUUCUUUCCCGGAUUGGUCCGGUAGCAUAUAAGUUGUAGCUACCUGUGGAGCUCAGCAACGUACACCCUGUGUUCCACAUUUCAAACCUGAAAAAGUGUUUAUCCAAUGAAACCCUUGUCGUGUCUCUAGAGGAGAUCAAAGUAAACGAAAAUCUUUUAUUCGGUGAAGAGUCUGUUAAGAUAUUGGACAGAGAAGUGAAGCUUACAAAACAGAGUCACAUUCCGAUUGUGAAUGUUCGAUGGAACGCUAAGCACAGACCAUAAUUCACGUGGGAGCGCAAAGACCAGAUGAAGCUAAAGUACCCUCAUUUAUUCUCUCGUUCAUAGUUCUAUCUUUCAAAAGAAUUUCGAGACAAAAUUCCCUCUAAUGGGAGGAUGAUGUCACAACUAGCAUUUUUGGCUAGGAAAUUCUGUCCUCAUGUACUCAACUUUUGUGUAACUUGUAAUCUAAGUUGAUGUUAUGUACUAACGCUCAUUCCAAAAACAACUAUUUGAACCAAAACUAACUCGUGAAGUCCAAAACCUAAUUCAAUUCAUUUCAUACACUCUACUGUGGGUUCAUAACCCUAAUAUCCCGAUUCAAACUCAGAAUGGAUUUGGAUCCUCUUAUUGGGCCUAAUGGGCCAGUAACUUUCAAUUUAGUUAUUUUGGGCAAGCGAGCUCCAUUUAGGCUCUAAAUGGACCUACAUUCAUUAAACCAUAACAUUUCGGGGCAUUUUGGGCCUAAAAUGACUCACUUCAUUUUCAUGGGCUUUAAUGGGCCGUGAACAAUCUUCUUGAACCUAAAUCGGCCGAAAACCCAUUAUGUUCACCCUUUUGGGCCGUAAACCCAUAAGAGGGCAUAAUAGGCCGAAAACUUCCACAUUGAACCUUGUAAAUUCAAGCAUAUUCAAUACUAGCCCAAACAAUUUUUGGGCCGUAAAGUUGAGGUGUCAUGGAUUAAGAACAUGACACCUCAACUUUAACUAAAGGAUUUCCAUGCACAUUACAUAACAUAUAUUUAUGAAAUCUCAUAUAUCUAUGCACAUCACUUUUCAACCUCUCUCUUCUUCUUUUUAUUCUCGGCCAAGACUCAUCACCACCUCUCUUCACUUCAGAUCUCUUCAAACACUCUCUAAGCACAAGAAAUCCUUUCCUUUAUCCUUUCAAAAUUUUGUGAGUUUGUAUGAUUUCAUCAAGAACUCUUCAUCAAAAUCCAUCCAUUCUUGGUAAGCUACUUUCUCUUCAAGGUGUUUAACUUCAUAUUCAUGCUGAACUUACUUCUCUUACACUCCAUUUUCAUGAUCUAUGUUCCUUAGAAACCUCAUCAGCUCGAGAUCUACUCAAGAAAGCUUGCUAGGGCCAAAUUCUCUCCAUUUUCUUCACCAAAACCGAAUUUAACACCCCAAAGUCAAUUCAUACCCCCUAUUUUCGUUUUUUACUAUGUUUUGGGGGAGAAUACAAGUUGUUUUGUGUAGAUCUAUAUGUAUAUGCAUCAUUAUAUGUGUUUUUGAUACAAUUUAUUAUGCAAAGAAAAGGUUUGAAACAUUUCAGGGUUGUUUAAACUAAGAAAAAUCACAUAAGAGGGCCAAAAACGACAAAAUAAUCAAAAAGUGAAGUUAUUAUACAUAAUUCACCAUUUUGAAAAGAUUUAUUUGAAUAAAUAUGGAUCUUUAUGGUAUUUAUGACUUUAGAAAGGCUAAAAGUGUAAACUUUCACAAAUGGGCCUCAUCUUGGGCUUUCAUAGUUUUUAGGCUAAGUUUGUAAAUUUUUGGACUUUUGUGGGCUUAAGUGUCAUUUUAAACAAAGUUGAGCCAAAAAUGUUAUUUUCUGUUAUAAAAGCUGAAAAUGAUAAUUUUAUCGAACUUGGGCCAAAAAGGAAUAAAUUCUAUGCUUUUGGGCCGAAAAUGAGAUUUUGAAAAAGUGGGUUAAAAAUGUUAUUUUAUUUGAAACUAGCCUUAGGUGUAAAAUUUUGGUCCUAAGGGACCUAAAGUGUCAUUUUUACCCAAAUUACGCCUAAGUUGUAAAUUUUUAGUCCACUAGACCAAAGACGUCAAUAUUACAAAAAGUGCCCUUUUUAUGUCAUUUUGGAAAAACAAUUGAACAAGAAUGAACAUUACAAUAACAAACAAGUCAAAUACGCUAAACUCACUUUUAUUGGGCCUGGAAUACACAUUACAUGCUUAUUGGGCCUUAGUUGUUGCUUCGCAUGCGUAUUGGGGCUGGAUUAUACAUUACAUGAUUAAUGGGCCUUAGUUGUCCUUUUUAAAUGCUUAUUGGGCUUGGAAUAUACAUUACAUGCUUCAUGUGCCUUAGUUGUCCUAUUUGCAUGCUUAUUGGGUCUGGAAUAUACAUUACAUGUUUAUGGGCCUUAGUUGUCCUUUUGCAUGCUUAUUGGGCCUGGAAAAUACAUUACAUGCUUAGUGGGCCUUAAUGGUCCUUUUAGAUGUUUGUUGGGCCUCAUACAUUCACAUACUCGUUUGGCUUCGUAAACUUAAAAUAUACAUGGAAACAAUAUAAACUGUGCAAUUUCAUAUUCGCAUAAAUUCACUAUAAAAUUUACGGAAUACAAUUUAUGUUGAUAACACGGUAACAUACACGCACUGGUACUCAAUCUUAGAGUGUUAAGAUCACAAAGUUUUAUAAACUGACAAUAUCAGAUUGUCUGGGAUCAUUCACUUCAUACACUUUCAAACAUUUACACACAUGCAUUAAUACAAGAUCGGACACAAACAUUUCAAACCGUUUUACAGAAAAUAUUGAAUUUUCUGGCAUUUACAAAGUAUUACAAAACAUUUUACUCAAACGUAUUUAUGAACUCACCAACAUUAUAUGUGUUGACGUUUUCAAAUUAACUUGUAUUCUCAGGAAAUCGUUGAGCAGGUUGGUCAGCAAGAAUACCUGGAAUUUUGUUGUGUUUUAUUAUCACCAUACUUUAGAUAUUUUGGCAUGUAAUUUGAAAUACAAUACAUGAUGUAAACAAUGACAGUUGUAAUAUUUCACGUGUGAUGAUGAUGAUGUUUUGUUUCAAUUAUAUACACUGUGAUGAUACUAUAAGAAUGAAGUCACCCAACUCCCGGACGUUUCUGCCGUUUCUCCGGUUCGGGGUUGUGACACCAAACCUGCAACCAAGAAGAAAUAUGCAAAGGGUUCCACGGAGCCUAUUCUCUGGGAAACAACCUAGUUUUUCUCACUAUACCCCAUGAAUUAUGACGAAUCCAUCCGAGUGAUAAUCGAGUUCAUCUCGCAUCACCCCAUUGUUGUUCCUUUUAUUAAAAUUCCAAACCGCAAACUUCCUCUUCACAUUCUUCGCAAAGCUUUUGAGAGAAUCAAUGAUCGAGAAUGAUGUGCUUGAAACUAAACUCACUAAUUACAAGAUUGUUCCUCUGCAAAAGAAAAGUUUUCUCAAAGUUAUUGGUAUUCUAGAAAACCCCAAGGGUUUUCGUGUUCAAGAACCCAUGUCUGAAGAGUUUCAGUCCUUUCUUAAUGAAAUUGGGUACAAUGGUGAAUUUAAGGGAAAGAAGUUCAAGAAGUCAGCUCUCCUGUUCUUUGGAUUCUUUUGAUGUAUCUAAUCCUUCGAGGAUUAUCCAACAAGCAUGGUGGUACUAACACCAUGAGCAAGGACUGAUUGUACGUUAUGUACAACAUCUACUCCAGAAGAAGCAAUGCAAUUGACUUAAGAGAAGUGUUAUGACAGGAUUUUUGGAAGUUUGCCAUCAAAAGGAAGCCUAACGAGAUAUCGAGUCCAAGAUUCCGAGCUCUGACGCUUAAACAAUUGUAUGAAGGAAGACGAGAAUCCAUUCCUCUCAAUUCCGAUGUCAAACAGCUAUAUCUUUCUUUUAAGCCCAUUAAACCUUAUAGGCUUUCGAACUAAGUAGCCUUCGGAUGCGAACAAAGUAGUCUCUACUAGUGGCCGAAAGAAGAAAAUGGCUAAAAGAAAACAUCACCCCCAAAAUUUCAAGCCAAAAAGAGAACCAAAUGCAGUGGAUCCUCUCAAAAGGAAACACAAAGUGGCAUUCGAUUUCACUCUGGAUCACUGCUUACCCCACCCGUCCACUCAUUCGUAGUACCUUUCAGAGUUUCAAUAUCAUACACACACACUCACAGGGAUUCUGCACACAAUCUACCCCUACAUUCCCAAACAACGGUGCAUGUAUUGAAUAUAGUCUCUUAAAGCCCCAUGGGACACACCCAUGAGUCAUUUUAAAAAUCCCUCUGGGUUCAAAACUUGUAAAAUCAGGAUCCCCUGCUUCUGAUUCUAAGUUUUCAGAAGUUGGAGUUGUCCCUCUUAUUUCUAAAGCCCCAACUGGUCUGAUACCUGGUUCAGGUAAAGGACAACCAUGUACUUCUGAUAAAGAUUGGUUUGAUUUUGUAGACAACGAUCAUACACAUCAUCCGGAGCUAACAAGAGCUCAAGUUGAUUAUACGCUUAUGUCAAUGCGUCACAGAGCUAUUCAAAGGAAUCUGUCAUUCACUUUUCCAACUGAUGCAGAAACUGAUCAAGAGUUCACCUAUUCUGAAGAAUUUCAGCAAACCGCUACAAGAUAUGUUCCCAAUCCAAAAAUUGUUUUGGAUGAUCCUCCGCCAAUGUUUACAAGCGAAGAAACUCCCAAGCCUCCCUCCGACGAACAAAAUUCUAAUGAUGUGAUGUUUGAUGAUGACAUCACAUCUGUGGGUGCUAUUCCGAUCCUCACCACUUUCAAGUCAUUACAAAAUACCUCUUCUUCUAAACUGGCAUAUGAUUUCAACCUUUUCUCCUCCUCCUCGGAAGAAGAAGAAUUAAAUGUUGAUGCCAACACUCCAGGAAAUCAAGGCAAUUAAACUGAAACCAAUCUAGCUGAUAAUCCCACUCCUUCAGAACCAUAAGAUGAUGAUGUUGGUGAUGACAAUAAUGAUCGAUCUGAGAUUUCUGCCUUGAACACAUCAUAUUCAUAUGAAAACAUCGCAUAUCCUUCUGCCUUGUUAGAACUCCGAGACAAUGUUGCUAGUGCUUUUUCCAAGGUUAACUCACUCGAAAAGUUUGCAGCUCAACUUGACUCCAAGAUCGAUCAGAAGGUUACCAACCUCGACUCCAAACUUGAACUCAUUCUCAAAUCUCUCUCUGAUAUCAAAAAAGUUGUCACACCCCUAAACCUAAACGGCGGAAACGUUCAGGGGUGGAUGAUGUUAUGUACAGUAUCAUAACAGUUGAGUAAUAGUAAAGAAACAAGCACAAUCAUCAUAAAUAUAAUUUAAAAGGUUACAUUGUUAGCUGAGUUACAUGUUUCCAAAUAAUAUGAUGACAAAAUGAGUGUUUAACUAACACCUUAGCGUUCCAUCCUCAAAAGCUGAUGGUUACCUAUUUUAUUGGUUCCUUGAGAAUACAAGUUGUUUUGAAAAAGUGUCAACAAUUAAGUUGGUGAGUUCAUAAGAAUUUCUAUGAGUAACUGUAAACGUUUCCAUGUAAAGUAAUCGUGUUUAUGUCUUGGAAAUCUGAUAUCGUUCUUCAGACCAAUGCUCCUCGCAUGUUGUAAGUGCUUAACCCUGCUCAGACCCUUUGUGAGGGGAUCUGCUGGGUUCUCCUAUGACGAUACCCUCUUGACUAUGAAGAGUCCCUCUUCUACCUGAUGUUUAAUGAUGUGGUAUUUUCUGUCGAUGUGUUUGGAUCUACCAUGAUCCCUUGGUUCCUUAGUUAAGGCAACCGCUCCUUCAUUAUCACAGAAAAUAUCCAUAGGCUCCUUUAUGGCUGGCACAAAUCCAACGUCUCCAAUGAAGUUCUUUAACCAUAUCGCCUCCUUCGAUGGUUCGCUCACUGCUAUGUACUCUGAUUCGCACGUUGAAUCAGCCACAGUCUCCUACUUGGAACUUUUCCAAGUAACUGCUCCUCCAUUUAGGGUAAAUACCCAGCCCGAAUGAGAGUGGAAGUUAUCUCUAUCGGUCUGAAAGUUAGCGUCACUAUACCCUGUCACUCUCAAGUCAUCACUCCCACCAAGUUUAAGGACCCAGUCCUUAGUCCUUCGCAGGUACUUAAGAAUGUUUUGAAGUGUUGUCCAAUGAGCUCUACUCGAGUUUCCUUGAUAUCGGCUAACCAUGCUCAAUGCUAAAGCCACAUCAGGGCGAGUACAUGUCAUAGUGUACAUGAUCAAGCCAACGGUGGAAGCAUAUGGAAAUCGACUCAUUUCCGCUAUCUCAACAUCGAUACUCGGACUCCGAGUCUUACUCAGCUUGGUAUUGCUUUGGUUUGGCAGUUCCUCUUUCUUGGAAUUCUCCAUGCUAAAAAGUUUCAGCACCUUGUCUAAGUAAGUACAUUGACUAAGUCCUAUUAGUCUCCUACUUCUAUUUCUCAAAAUCCUUAUCCCUAGAAUGUAAGCAGCUUCUCCUAGAUCCUUCAUAGCGAAACACUUCCCAAGCCAAGACUUAACCUCCUGCAAGGUCGGGACGUCGUUUCCUAUGAGUAGUAUGCCAUCAACCUACGUAACUAGAAAGCUAACUAUACUCCCACUGGCCUUGACAUACACACAAGACUCAUCCUCACUUCUUGAAAAUCGAAACUCAUUAAAUUUCCCAUCGAAACAAAGAUUCCAUCUGCGAGAUGCUUGCUUUAAUCCAUAUAUGGAUUUAUCAAGCUUGCACACUCUAUUAGGAUAUUUGGCAUCCACAAAACCCUUUGGCUGACACAUGUAAACAUCUUCAACCAUCUUCCCAUUAAGGAAGGCAGUUUUGACAUCUAUCUACCAAAUUUCAUAAUCAUGAAACACAUUGAUAGCUAACAUAACCCUAAUAGACUUGAUCUUGGCCACUGGUGAGAAUGUCUCAUCAUAGUCAAUCCCCGAGGUUUGAAUAAAGCCCUUUGCAACCAGUCGUACGUUGAGCGUGUGCACUUUCCCAUCCGUGUCGGUCUUCUUCUUGAAGAUCCACUUGCACCCGACCAUCUUACAACCCGGUACAUUGUCAACCAAGUUCCAAACUUGAUUGUCAUACAUGGAUUGAAUAUCAUUGUCCAUUGCCUCCUUCCAUUUUGCAGACUCUGGGCCCGCCAUUGCUUCCUUGUAGUUGUUAGGCUCAUCUAAAUUUAUCACUGUACUAUCACUGAUAAACAUAUCACCUUCAGCAGUUAUAUGGAAACCAUACAACACAGGUGGAACACUAACCUUAUUGGAACGUCUUAGAGGUAAGGACUCGUCAACUGGUUCAACAUGAAUCUCUUCCUCAAGUUUAGCGCUAGUGUCAGAGGUUCCUUCAUUGCUUGAUUCUCGAAGUUAUUCAAGUUCAAUUUUCCUUCCACUAUAAUCUAGGCAUAUGAGUUCUCUUUCGCGGAAAACCCCUCACCUUGCUACGAAGACCACAUUGUCACUAGGUCUGAAGAAAAUAUAUCCAAAAGAUUUCUUUGGGUAGCUGAUGAAAAUACAUUGCUCACUAUGAGGUUCAAGCUUUCCGUGAGUCUUUCGUCUUACGAAAGCCUCGCAACCCCAAACCUUGAUAUGUGCCAACGAGGGAACCUUCCCUAUCCACAUCUCGUGAGGUGUUUUGGCAACCUUUUUAGUUGGGACUAGAUUAAGGAUAUGAGCAGCAGUCUCUAAUUCAUACCCCCAAAUUGAGAUAGGUAACGAAGCUCGACUCAUCAUGGAACGAACCAUGUCCAACAAGGUUCGAUUUCGCCUCUCAGCCACACGAUUGAGUCGCGGUGUCCUAGGCGGCUUCAAUUGUGAAACAAUUCUACAUUCCUUAAGUUAGUCGUGGAACUCGAUACUAAGAUACUCACCACCCCUAUCAGAUCUGAGCAUAUUUAUCUUCUUGCCCAAUUGAUUCUCCAUUUCUUGUUUAAACUCUUUGAACUUUUCAAAGGUUUUCGACUUGUGCGUGAUUAAAUAGAUAUACCCAUAUCUACUAUAAUCGUCAAUGAACAUAACAUAGAAGUGGUUAGCAUCCCUUAUGGUGGAUCUAAAGGGUCUACACACAUCGGUGUGUAUGAGAUCCAACAAUCCCUCACCUCUUUCACAAGUACCAGUAAAAGGUGAUUUAAUCAUCUUUCCAAGUAAAUAAGAUUCGCACGUGUCAUCAGACUUUAAGUCAACUGACUCCAAGACUCCAUCCUUUUGGAGUUGGGCUAUGCGCUUCUUGUUGACAUUGUUGGAUUAAUGUCUAAGUCCAUAACUAUAAUUGGUAAGACUUGACCCGACCCGGCAUGGUCCAUUUGGGUUGCAUACCAUCAUGCACUUGGAUAGACUAUAAUGAGAGAAAUAAGACACUUAUGGUUAUUAAUAUAUUAUAAGUUCUAGUAUAUUAAUAAUAAGAAUAAUAAGAUUAUUUAAUUAGUAUUGAUCAAGAAUUAAUCUAGGAUUAAUUAAGUGAUCAAAAGAAGACUAAUUAAAUAUAUGGGUUGAUUGUGUAAAUCAUCCAUACUUGUAUAGUGGGCUAAUGCUCCAUGGAUAAUCAAGUUGGGCUAAAACCCAUAGGAUGGUCCAUGGAUGCUCCAUGGUGUAUUUGUACCCAUGGAUCCAAGGAAAUGGAAAGCCAUGACAAUUAAGAGUUUACCCUAAUUGUGUAACUAUAUAAGCAUCUUAUUAUUGAGGAAAAAUUGGCCACAAGAGAUAGUGAAGAAAGGGCUAGCCGAUUUUGAUGAGUGUAGAAUUCUCUCAAGUCAUUCCAAGUGUUUUGAUGAUUGUGAUUCCAUUUGAGGUGUCACACUUGGGGCACUAAGCACUCAAGCUUCAUGAAGACUUACUACACCAAAAAGGUAUGUAUUCUAUCCUACUAUAUCCAUUGUUUUAUAUGCUAGAUUAGGAUAAUACCUUGGAAGUUCUUAUUUGCAUGUAUAAUAGAGAAAACAUAGAUCCAAGGUAUUUAGGGUUGCAUGUACACUUAGGAAGUGUUAGAAUGCUAAAAACCUAACAGACAUGUCCAAGAUGACAAUGCCACUAUUGGAUUAAUGUCUAAGUCCAUAACUAUAAUUGGUAAGACUUGACCCGACCCGGCAUGGUCCAUUUGGGUUGCAUGGCAUCAUGCAUUUGGAUAGACUAAAAUGAGAGAAAUAACACUUAAGGUUUGUUAAUAUAUUAUACGUUCUAAUAUAUUAAUAAGAUUAUUUAACUAGUAUUGAUCAAGAAUUAAUCUAGGAUUAAUUAAGUGAUCAAAAGAAGACAAAUUAAAUAUAUGGGUUGAUUGUGUAAAUCAUCCAUACUUAUAUAGUGGGCUAAUGCUCCAUGGAUAAUCAAGUUAGUCUAAAACCCAUAGGAUGCUCCAUGGAUGCUGCAAGGUGUAUUUGAACCCAUGGAUCCAAGGAAAUGGAAAGCCAUGACAAUUAGGGUUUACCCUAAUUGUGACACUAUAUAAAGAUCUUAUAGGUGACAAAAUCGCUACUAUGAGUAAUAGAAAGGGCUAGCCGAUUUUAUGAAGUGUGGAUUUCUCUCUAAGUCAUUCAAUGUGUAUUUGGUGUUGUGUAAACCAUUUGAGGUGUCACACUUGGGGCGCUAGGCAUUCAAGCUUCAUGAAGACAUUAUACAUCAAAGAGGUAUGUAAUUCUAAGUUGAUAUAUUCAUAUGAAUCAAUGUUAUUAUGCUAGUUAGGAUGAAUACCUUGGAAAGUUCAUAUUUUCAUGUAUAGAGAAAACAUACAUCCAAGGUAUUUAGGUUGCAUGUACACUUAGGAGUGUUAGAAUUCUCAAAAUCGAACAGUGGUAUCAGAGCCUAGGCUUGCUUUCUCUUAUACUUGAUGCAAAUGUGUUUUUUUCGAAGUUGAAUCUGUCCAGACCAUAAAACUCGACGAGUUCUUGUAGAAAACUCGACAACUUCAUGUAUUAGAGCAUGAACUCGACGAGUUCCAUGAAGAACUUGACGGGUUUGGUCUCCAGAUAGCAUAUCUUCGUGUUUGGUCUCCAGAUAGCAUAUCUUCGUGUUUCUUGGCUGGAAUUGGACUAGGAACAUUACCCUAAGCUGUUUUUGAACUUGUAAACUUGUUUUUGAUGUGGUAUUGUUCACGCUAAUCCAAUUUCAAAGAUAAUUGUCAAUAGAUUCAUGUUUUGUAUUAGUUUAAAAGUUAUGCUAAUUACAUGGAAUGUUUGAUGUGAAUUAUCUUUGUUCAUAUGAGUUGCUUAGAUUAAUAGAUAAGUUAAUUGGUUAUGUGUUUUCAAUCCAUUUUAAUCUAAGAGUUGAUUCUAAAAUGUGUUUUUGUAACUUGUCCUCAAUUUAUAUGAAAAGUCACAUUUAAGUUUAAUAAAACUCAUAAAAGUUGGCAAUGGUUACAAAAAUGAAGAGUCUUGUCCUCAAGUUAUGGAGGUUCAAGAGUCACUUCAUUAAGUAAUAAAAUGUGUAACCUUAAUUAAUUCCAUAAAUUACAAAAUAAAGAAAAGUUACAUUCUUUUAUUAGUUUAAAGUCUUCCAUAACUUGCCCUCAAAUUAUGGAACUUGAAGAGUUUUUGGAUUAAAACUACUUUAAACACAUAAGCUAUGGAAAUUAAUUAGUUUUGAAUAGUUUCAAAAACUUGCCCUCAAGUUUUGGAAUUUGAAAAUUUUCACUUAUGAAUACUUUAAUUCCAAGUUAGCCCUUAGAAUUUUAAAAGUUAAAAUUCAACCCUUAUACUUUAUAAUAUUAUAAGUUAAUAAUAUAUAUAUGUAUAAGAGUAAAGUCAGUCUUACCGCUAGUACGCCUCAUUCACGAAGCCGGUCUAUAAGGUGGGUAUAAGGUUGUUGCCUAUAAAAUGGCAACUUAAUGGGUGUCCACUCUCACCCACCGCUUGCUUGACUGGUGGAGGGUCGUUAGCCGAACGGGUUUGACAGGACUAGAAUUCUCCCUUCAUUAAAAGUAUUAAUGAUAAAUACUAAGUAACUAAACUCUUAAUAAUACCCAAUCUUAGUUACUUAGGAAAAUGUGAAUAAGGUGCUAAUCCAUGAAAUUACACUUUGCACUUUGUUUAAGUCGGUUAGUGGAGCGUGUGUGGUUAACCGGCACACUAACUCGUAUUUAACAAGGUAGGCAAAGGGUAACUUAAUGUUUAUCAUAGUAUCGAUGGAGCGUGUGUGGUUAACCGGCACAUCGAUUGAGGGGUAAACACUUAAGGGUACCAAGUAAUUUGCAUGGUUACUUCACACCUUGUUUUGUGAUCCUCGGCAUCCCAGUCACAAAACCUGAAGGGCACACUCGAGAUUGAAACAUGCCAUUGAACAGUUCAAUGAAUCUCAAAGAUCUAGGAGUUUCAAAACCAAUUAAAACCUAAUAAUACAUUUCGUUUAUCUUGGUGGAAAUUGGUGAAUCGUCAUUCACCUACCUUCAAAUAUUUUAUAGCUUGGAUUACGGCAUACCUCUUCUAAGUUAUAAAAUAGUUUGUUGGGUCCUAGCCUUAAUAUUUCAUAUUGGGUGUCAUAUUAAGGACUUUAAAUCAACUAUCUUGAAUAUCUCCCAAAAGAUGUCUGGUUUAGACACCUAUGAUCUUCCCAAAUCUCUUGAAACAAGGUUUCCUAAUGAAGAUGAUGUCCCAUGGAUAUCAUACUUCUUCACCUCUUCAAAUUAUUCUCCCUAACCCACAAGUUCUUGAAAAGUUUAAGGUCACUCAGGCCCUAUUGGCAAGGCAAGGUCUAGGUGUGGUCACAUCUUGGAGAUGUAGUCACAUAUUGACAAGCCGGGAGAGUUGGGUGUCAAAGUCUUGAGAAAGUUGGUGGUUCAAUCACUUUCUAAGUCACAUAGUGAGUUCCUUUGGGACACCUAUGAAACAGACUAUGACAAGACCCUUAAUGAUCUUAUCUAUUUGUUAAGAUCAACUUCCUUAAAACUUGAUGGACAUUGACAAUAGUGACACAGGAAAUCCAGAAAAGCAUUCUCUUCCCAAUGGAAAGGGAUCGGCCAUAGUCAACUCGGUUGACCAAAUGGUAAAGAGAAAAGCUAAGUCUGUGAUAGUCCCGUGUACCAUUAUCAAAGGGUCCAUAUGUUUAUAUUGCCAAAGGAAGGGGCAUUGGUUGCGAAGCUGCCAAAUUUACCUAAGGAUGUUAAAGUCAAUAAGUUUGACUCUACUUCAGGUAAAGUCCACUAUCUAACUCUGUUAAGUUUCUAUUCUGAGAUUCUUGAUACAUGAUGUGACUGGGUCACAUGGUGAUGUUUUAAGAAUCAAAGAAAAGUGAAGAAACUUAAAGAAAGAAUAUGCUGAAUCUGAUGGCGUAGAUGGAUUUCUAUCGCAUAGUUUGAAGAUCGGAUUCUUGAGCUACUUCUUAGGAGUUAUGAGAUAUUGCUUAGGAAUAGAUAACAACAAGUUUUCAUAUGGAUUAUAAGGAUAAGUUUUUCCGCAAAGUUUUAAAAUAAAAGGAAAUUUUGAUUUUAUUUAUUUUAUGUAUCCUUACAAUGGCGUUUGUGGAAAAUUGUUGCUUAUAAGAUUCCACUGGUAGAAAUAUUGGAAAGUAAAUUUGAUUCUCUCGUUUGUGGUAAUGUCUAAAUUUACCAAAUAAGGAAAGAUUCUCAUCACCCAAGUUUUAGUUGGAUAGAAACUUGGAAUCAUGCAAGUUGUAUAGCAUGAUGGAUGAGAACUUUCAAGCAUUGGAAAAAAUUAAGACUAACUACUUGUUCACAUGGAUGUGUGAGUCAAGUAAAGGACUAAGGGAUCAAGUACACAUUCUUGUGCACUGGCUAAGUCCACCACAAAAGAUCGAUAAGACUAUUUGUCAUAAUUUACUAUAGCUCAGUAAAUAUUGUUAUACUUACACGUUUAAGUAUAAUUCUGAAACAUUGGAAAAGUUUCAAUGUAAGGUAGAACUAAUAAGAAGAGUCAAAUUAGGCUGAAAGAUAAAAGUUUCUCAAAUCUGAAAAAAUGGGAGAGUACUUUAGUAUCAGGUUUUGUGAUCAUCUUGAUGAUUAAGAAACCAUAUCACAAUUGGACUUCUAAGGACAUCUUAGUGCAUUCUUAUGGCUAAGAAGAGGAGUCAUGAAUUUUUGAAGUGGUUAAAUCAAGAGGAUGAUUCAUACUUUGUUCCAAAAACAAUUCUUAGAGUUAUACUCUAUGAUUGUAACUUGAGUGAUAUGUAUUAAAGAAGGUUAAAACACUUGUCAAAUGUAAGAGUAAAAGUUUUCUACUCUUGUACAUUUGAAAUUGGUAAAUUGUGAUGUUUUGGAUACAACAAAGACCAACUAAGACCAAUUGUGUGAAGUGUUUGUCUUGAUUAGAAUCGACACUAUCUCUUGAAUAUCUGACAAGAAAGUCUUAUAUGUCAAGAGCACAGUGAGAGUCGUAAAGGUCUUGAAAAGAACUAAUCAAGAAUAAAACCUGAAGUUCUUCAAUAGCACACGACUUGAGGUUUACAACCUAUCGUGUUGACAUAUUUUGUGCCCAUUCCAGUUAAAGUUAGCUUUGCAUAUGAGUUCUUAGAGUUCUCAAUUGGUUGCAUAACAACUUGGAAGCAAUGACAGGCCCUUGAGCUGCCAAGUGGCAAGAAAUUAAUAUUGAGUUUAGUCAAUAUGAGUUUGGAUUUGUCAUUAUCCUUGUCUUGUGACUAUGGUUUUGAUAAUUCACAUGGAUAAGAACACAUACACCAUUAAAUCUAAGUUUCAUAAGGUUUCUCUCCGAUUCAUGAAAAAUGAUGGUGAGGAAACACUUUCACUAAGUAGAUUUUAGCUAGAUAACAAUUAUGAUAUUUGCAUUCUCAAAGUCGUUAGUGGAGCGUGUGUGGCUAACCGGCACACUAACAUGGACUUGUGAGAAGUGGCAAAGGUCUAAACAAUCGAGACUAUGAUUACGACAUCCCUUUUCAUAGUUCUUAAAAUUGUUUAGACACACCUGUGAGCUAUCUAAGAUAAGGUGUAUGAUAUUGAUAAAGUUUUAUCAAAGCAAUCUAGUAUCAGAAAUUUGAACUUUGGCAAGAAAGUCAAUAGAAGUUCAGUUGAUUUUUGAGUACAUGUCAAAGCUAGUGGGGGCAUAAGUGUUAUGCUAAUAAUAUCAUGUUAGUGGGAGCAUGAUAAUUAUGAUAAAGGUUGCAAGUUACCAAUGUUAAUUAUAGAAAACAAAAGGUUUCAAUUGGGAAAGAAUUGUUUUGCUAUAAUUAAGGGAGAGGAAAUUAUACUUCAUCUCAAAUCUAAAAGCUUAGAUUGAGGUUUUAAUCGUAUUUAUUCAAGGAUAUAUAUAUGAAUUUUAUGUUGGAAUGGCUCAACAUAAGAAAAUUUUGUAUAUGGGUCCAUUAUUUGCGUUCUAAAAUUCAAUUAUGAUUACGACAUCCCUUUUCAUAAUCUGAAUUAUGAGAACUUGACAAAUAGAAAUGGAAAUGUUAUAGCAAAAGACUGGUUUAGUCUUUAUGUGAGACAUCAUGAAUCGUGUCCCAUAUGCUUCGGAUAUAGGAUCGAUUACAUGUGCUAUAUUCAUCCUUUCUAAAAUUUUCCAAAUGCCUGGGGCAUUAAGAAGGGAAAAGGUCUAGAACUGGAUAUGACUAAAAGGAUUAAGCAAUAGUCGAGGACAAUCUAACGUUUACCAAAGAUUGGUUGCUCAAGGAAAGUUGGAAGUAUAGUGAUAAUUUUGGAAGGACCAUAUUGACAUAAUCUGUAAGGAGGCAACUCUUGUUCAGAAGUGAUAGUCAAAAUGGAAUAUGGAAAUGUUUCAAAGUUAGAAAUUAUUCAAUCUGUGUAAGAUUAGGAAACUUAAUGCAAGAAGGAUGUUUCCAAGGAGUUGAUCUCCUUUGGAAUGCUCUGUAAUGGUUGUUGUCAAGUCUUUCUGACUUUGUGCAUAAUCAUUACAAGAGGAUCAAUGCAUAUAAGUUUAGAAUCUAACAGAUUUCAGUAAAUGGCAUGAAUUUGGAAUUCUUGCAUUUGUAGUAAGGAUUUGGGACUAUCAAAUGAGAAUCAUUGGAAUUAUGUUCAAUCGAUCACUUUCUCAAAGUAAAGAUCAUAGACAAACAUAGUAUGCAUACUUGGUGUAUGGCAUGACUAGUGUUUAAAAAACAUAGUGUACAUGCUCGGAGCAUGGGACAACUAGUGUUUUAAUUCAAGAAUAAAGUUGAUAGCUGAAACAGUAUACAAUGAAUAAUGUGUAAUCAUAUGGUGAUAAAUAAAAGGUGUUUUAUUUAUGUUCAUAGGUUUUGAUACCAUAUUGGAUUCAAUUAUUAUUGUGUUUCACUUUGCAUGUUUUGACUUCCCGAAUAAACUAGGUUAUUCUUCCGGA